This is a long non-coding RNA of Haliotis rufescens (red abalone), 372 nucleotides long. RefSeq lists it as uncharacterized. The transcript is spliced from 3 exons. Lineage: Eukaryota; Metazoa; Mollusca; Gastropoda; Lepetellida; Haliotidae. The record is from RefSeq and is a predicted model, not a curated record.
CAUGGUUACUGGAUGUGUGGAGGUAGAGGUACGUGGUUACUGGGUGUGUGGAGGUAGAGAUACAUGGUUACUGGAUGUGUGGAGGUACAUGGUUACUGGAUGUGUGGAGGUACAUGGUUACUGGAUGUGUGGAGGUACAUGGUUACUGGAUGUGUGGAGAUACAUGGUUACUGGAUGUGUGGAGGUAGAGGUACGUGGUUACUGGGUGUGUGGAGGUAGAGAUACAUGGUUACUGGAUGUGUGGAGGUACAUGGUUACUGGAUGUGUGGAGGUACAUGGUUACUGGAUGUGUGGAGGUACAUGGUUACUGGAUGUGUGGAGAUACAUGGUUACUGGAUGUGUGGAGGUAGAGGUACAUGGUUACUGGAUGUG